RNAcentral lists this ribosomal RNA (629 nucleotides) under Trichoderma koningii. Its description in RNAcentral is "eukaryotic LSU rRNA". The stretch from base 240 to 393 matches the Rfam family "5.8S ribosomal RNA". Lineage: Eukaryota; Fungi; Ascomycota; Sordariomycetes; Hypocreales; Hypocreaceae. The record is from RNAcentral.
UGGAAGUAAAAGUCGUAACAAGGUCUCCGUUGGUGAACCAGCGGAGGGAUCAUUACCGAGUUUACAACUCCCAAACCCAAUGUGAACCAUACCAAACUGUUGCCUCGGCGGGGUCACGCCCCGGGUGCGUCGCAGCCCCGGAACCAGGCGCCCGCCGGAGGGACCAACCAAACUCUUUCUGUAGUCCCCUCGCGGACGUUAUUUCUUACAGCUCUGAGCAAAAAUUCAAAAUGAAUCAAAACUUUCAACAACGGAUCUCUUGGUUCUGGCAUCGAUGAAGAACGCAGCGAAAUGCGAUAAGUAAUGUGAAUUGCAGAAUUCAGUGAAUCAUCGAAUCUUUGAACGCACAUUGCGCCCGCCAGUAUUCUGGCGGGCAUGCCUGUCCGAGCGUCAUUUCAACCCUCGAACCCCUCCGGGGGGUCGGCGUUGGGGAUCGGGAACCCCUAAGACGGGAUCCCGGCCCCGAAAUACAGUGGCGGUCUCGCCGCAGCCUCUCAUGCGCAGUAGUUUGCACAACUCGCACCGGGAGCGCGGCGCGUCCACGUCCGUAAAACACCCAACUUCUGAAAUGUUGACCUCGGAUCAGGUAGGAAUACCCGCUGAACUUAAGCAUAUCAAUAAGCGGAGGA